GACGAACGCUGGCGGCGUGCCUAAUACAUGCAAGUCGAGCGAAGUUUUUCUGGUGCUUGCACUAGAAAAACUUAGCGGCGAACGGGUGAGUAACACGUAAAGAACCUGCCUCAUAGACUGGGACAACUAUUGGAAACGAUAGCUAAUACCGGAUAACAGUAUUUCUCGCAUGAGAGAUAUUUAAAAGUUGGUUAUGCUAACACUAUGAGAUGGCUUUGCGGUGCAUUAGCUAGUUGGUGGGGUAAAGGCCCACCAAGGCGACGAUGCAUAGCCGACCUGAGAGGUUGAUCGGCCACACUGGGACUGAGACACGGCCCAGACUCCUACGGGAGGCAGCAGUAGGGAAUCUUCCGCAAUGGGCGAAAGCCUGACGGAGCAACGCCGCGUGAGUGAAGAAGGAUUUCGGUUCGUAAAGCUCUGUUGUUAGGGAAGAAUGGAUAUGUAGUAACUAUACAUGUAAGAGACGGUACCUAACCAGAAAGCCACGGCUAACUACGUG
RNAcentral lists this ribosomal RNA (499 nucleotides) under uncultured bacterium. RNAcentral's name for it is "partial 16S ribosomal RNA". It matches the Rfam family "Bacterial small subunit ribosomal RNA", at positions 28 to 507 of the family's 1533-position model. The record is from RNAcentral.